Molecule: ribosomal RNA, 492 nt
Filed under: uncultured bacterium
Lineage: Bacteria
Description: partial 16S ribosomal RNA
Rfam family: Bacterial small subunit ribosomal RNA
Source: RNAcentral
AGUGAACGCUGGCGGUAGGCCUAACACAUGCAAGUCGAACGGCAGCACAGUAAGAGCUUGCUCUUACGGGUGGCGAGUGGCGGACGGGUGAGGAAUACAUCGGAAUCUACUUUUUCGUGGGGGAUAACGUAGGGAAACUUACGCUAAUACCGCAUACGACCUACGGGUGAAAGCAGGGGACCUUCGGACCUUGCGCGAUUGAAUGAGCCGAUGUCGGAUUAGCUAGUUGGCGGGGUAAAGGCCCACCAAGGCGACGAUCCGUAGCUGGUCUGAGAGGAUGAUCAGCCACACUGGAACUUAGACACGGUCCAGACUCCUACGGGAGGCAGCAGUGGGGAAUAUUGGACAAUGGGCGCAAGCCUGAUCCAGCCAUACCGCGUGGGUGAAGAAGGCCUUCGGGUUGUAAAGCCCUUUUGUUGGGAAAGAAAAGCAGCAGGUUAAUACCCCGCUGUUCUGACGGUACCCAAAGAAUAAGCACCGGCUAACUUCGUG